Molecule: ribosomal RNA, 495 nt
Filed under: uncultured bacterium
Lineage: Bacteria
Description: partial 16S ribosomal RNA
Rfam family: Bacterial small subunit ribosomal RNA
Source: RNAcentral
GACGAACGCUGGCGGCGUGCCUAAUACAUGCAAGUAGAACGCUGAAGGAGGAGCUUGCUUCUCUGGAUGAGUUGCGAACGGGUGAGUAACGCGUAGGUAACCUGCCUGGUAGCGGGGGAUAACUAUUGGAAACGAUAGCUAAUACCGCAUAAUAGUAGAUGUUGCAUGACAUUUGCUUAAAAGGUGCAAUUGCAUCACUACCAGAUGGACCUGCGUUGUAUUAGCUAGUUGGUGAGGUAACGGCUCACCAAGGCAACGAUACAUAGCCGACCUGAGAGGGGGAUCGGCCACACUGGGACUGAGACACGGCCCAGACUCCUACGGGAGGCAGCAGUAGGGAAUCUUCGGCAAUGGACGGAAGUCUGACCGAGCAACGCCGCGGGAGUGAAGAAGGUUUUCGGAUCGUAAAGCUCGGUUGUAAGAGAAGAACGAGUGUGAGAGUGGAAAGUUCACACUGUGACGGUAUCUUACCAGAAAGGGACGGCUAACUACGUG